This 267-nucleotide long non-coding RNA is filed under the name Monodelphis domestica (gray short-tailed opossum). RNAcentral describes it as "lncRNA (ENSMODG00000038129.1)". The record is from RNAcentral. Lineage: Eukaryota; Metazoa; Chordata; Mammalia; Didelphimorphia; Didelphidae.
UAUAUAUAUAUUUUUUUCUUCUUUUACCUAGAUCCAAUGAGAACAGGGCACUAGCAUUACCAGUCCUCCAUCCUCUCCUUCCCUACAUGGCUAAGGGCACGAAUUAAACCACUUAGCCAAGGUGAUCACCAUCUGGAAGAACUCCUCAUCACCUCCAUCAUCAAACUCCUCUGGAAACCGCCCCCCCCCUCCCUUCCAAGCACACGGAGGCAGAAUAAUGAGCUGAGGUGCUGAGAGGUCCGGCAUAGGGAGGUAGAGUGAGAACCC